This 615-nucleotide long non-coding RNA is filed under the name Triticum aestivum (bread wheat). Its description in RNAcentral is "long non-coding RNA (TAES_LNC013916)". The record is from RNAcentral. Lineage: Eukaryota; Viridiplantae; Streptophyta; Magnoliopsida; Poales; Poaceae.
CCCCUCUCUCCCCCUGUACCUCUCUGCUGUCAUGCAUGUUGUACAUGCAACACAUCUGGGCGUUUUGGCCCCUGUUAAUGGCAAAGAUUCAGGUGGGAAAAACUCCCCCGUUGAAAAUUCAAAAACGAAAAAGUUAAGACAGACAACUAGAUUUGCUGUUUUCUCUUGAUGCUUCAUUUUGAGCCAAUAAAAUCCACACUCUAUCGAAAAAAGACAACUAGAUUUGCUGUUUUUGGUUGUGUGUGGUCAACUAUUCGUAGUUCUAUUUCUGAUGAUAAUUAGUUUGACAGCCACAUAUUGACAACAAACUGCAAAGAAUGGCAAAUUAGAAGAAUUCAUGUGCCUACUGAAAUAGUAAUGGAACAAAGAGAAAAGAAAGCAGCCAUUGAAAAUUCAAAAUUUGCUGCUUUUUGAUGGGGGGAAAUUUCCCAAUUGAAAAUUCAAAAAAAAAAAGUUAAGACAGACAACAAGAUUUGCUGCCUUUUGGUUGUGUGUUGUUAAUUAUUCAUGGUUCAUUACUGAUGGUAAUUGUGCAAGGAUGAGAUUACUGAAAUGAUGAUAGUGCAGAAAAAGGAAGAUAACACAGAUACCAAAGAUAGUACAAGGAUGAAAUUA